CACCUUCCCUGUGAGGGAAGCCAGGCCGGUAGUGGUUUUAUUUCCAAGUUACAGACUGACAAUCAAACAGAGUAAGCCACUUAAUUCAAGGUCACACUGCUACCAAGUGUUGGCGUUAGGACCAGUUGGCUUCUGUGCCCAAAGCCCACUAACCGUAUUAAACAAGCUGAAGUUUUCUCAGGUAGAUAAUUUUCCAGAGUUGCCUUUGACAAUUUUAAGAGCAACGGACCCACCAAAACUCUCCACCUUCUUUCCCCUCUGCAGAAGGCCGAGGAUGAGCAAGAUGGGCAACAGGCAGUGGGUACGACAUGCCCAGUUUCUUGCUUUGGAAUGUUGUUUUGAAAGGGGAAAACAUUCCCUCAGCUGCAGAUACUACAGAAGUAUCCCACUCUCCGUCUCCAUCAUCUGACAAGAGAGGCCGAGAGUACCAGGAAGACGACAAGAUUCUAGCCAUCGUUACAACCAGAUCACUGCACAGGCCACAUCUUUCCUUACUCUUCUACUCAUCCCGUGAAUAGGAGGGGCCUCACACCCAGGAUGAUGCCUUCUUUCUACCCCCAACUGUACAAGCUCAGCUUGCACACACUGCAAGGGGGUCAGCAGGAUAACCCCCUUCUCUGUGUCCUCUGCCUAAGACACUUGGGAGUUUUGCAUAAGUUUCUCCUGCUUGGCAUUUAAUUUCAUAAUACUGAUAUAAUCAUCUAUUUAGGUGGAUACAAGUUCCAGAUGAAUUCAGCUCUACAGAGGAUCCAAGACAUGAAUAUUCCCGAAUGCCCUGGGGAGAGACUGCAAAAGAACCAAGAGAGCUGAGGGUCUUUUAGGAGCAAGAGGCUGCAGGAUCAGAGAUAAAUGGUCAGAAUCGUGGACUCCGUCCAGGGGUAGAUGCGUGAAUGUUAGCUCCUGCCCACUCCAAAGGCCAGUUUCACACUGGCUCAGUGUCAGUGCAGGAAAAAGCAGAGAUCGACUACAGCAUAGCGUCUUCAGAGGCGCUAGAAAUUUGAGGAUUUCAUUUUCUGGCCCUCACACUGUCACAAGGCCAUGUACGCCAUACUUCUAAUAUACCAAGGCACCAUCUUGGAGAACGAUAAGGGGGAAGGCCACCUUAAAUAUAUGAGCAUUUACCUAGAUCAUUCAAGCUGGAGCUAGAUACCUGCGGACGCUGUUUUCGUUACUGAAUCUCACUGAGCGGACUGGUUUUGGCAGUGGAGCUGUAGGAAACACCUGUUCACCACCACCUCACAGGCUGGUAAACUUUUCACAGGAAGAAUGUUCAUUCUGUCAUAUAGCAAUCAUUUUGACCAUCAGCAAGAUGACUUCUGGGCCUAGCUUCAAAUAAGUACAUGUAAAGGUCAAAGACUUUUAUGAAUGCUAUAUUAUGACUUUCCCUGGGCCAAUCUGUAUCUGUUUACUUGCAGUCUUUUUAAUGUU
RNAcentral lists this long non-coding RNA (1428 nucleotides) under Felis catus (domestic cat). RNAcentral's name for it is "lncRNA (ENSFCAG00000052867.1)". The record is from RNAcentral. Lineage: Eukaryota; Metazoa; Chordata; Mammalia; Carnivora; Felidae.